This is a long non-coding RNA of Belonocnema kinseyi, 525 nucleotides long. RefSeq lists it as uncharacterized. The record is from RefSeq and is a predicted model, not a curated record. NCBI's taxonomy places the organism in Eukaryota, Metazoa, Arthropoda, Insecta, Hymenoptera, Cynipidae. The transcript has 3 exons.
UCUGCAUUAUGUUACAGGGGACAUUUAAAUGGAAAUUAGUGUAUGAACUCUGUUGCGCCCCACGAUGGAGGUCGAGUCGAAGGCGCGUUGUCGUGUGAAAAUGUUUGGGCAACUGCAACGCACAGUAACAAGCCGCCCAGCUUCGAGACCGAGUCCAGCGCUGAACAAUAGAAAAAGGUCGCUGAGGGAUCGGGCAGGCUGCGGCACCCUGAAAUCUUCUUAAGCCGGAUUUGCUUAUGUUGUCAGAAGUCUGUGGGCCACUCUAUUUAAACUCUAAGUGACGGAGCCAGUGAAAUGCUUGGCAGAAAUUCCGGCGAGUCGACAGUUCUGAAGGAAAUGUUCGCCAACAUUAUCGUUUGGCACUGUCUUAAUCAUCGAGUAGAUGGGUUGCUAGUAGCUUCAGAAGCGUUAAAUUGGUAUGGAAUAAUUAUCCCGUACUUGAAAAACAUUUCGAAUCAGCUUCUCAAGAUAAUAAAAGAACGGCAUCUGAAAAAGAAAAAUACACCGGCUUGCUAAGCAGAAUGC